CCCACUAGCCCAUUGGACCAGGAGUCUCCCGUACAUGCGGCCUGAUUUGACCCAAUCCCGUGCGGCGGCGGCCGCCGGCGGCACGGGAGCGGCGCCGCGCGGCGGGAGGAGAGCGAGUGGCUGCGGCCAUGGCCAUGGCCGGCGAGCCCGCGUCGGGUGGCGUCAACGCGGGUGCUGCCACGCGAGGGAGCAGACGGCAUCGACAGGAAGUUUGCCAGCCUAGGGGGAAUCGCUCUCGGCUGAAGCAUUUGGAGAAGUAGCGGCGGACGCCACGGCAGCCGGCUGAGGGGGGAAGACGGCGGCCCUCACGGGGUUACAAGUCGUGGCGCCAAGCUCCCGGUGGCCGGUGCCACGGUGCCACCUCGUCGCGAGCCACUUGAAGCCAAGGAACAUCAAUAUCAUAAGUACAAUUACAGGAGGAAAACAUGAUAUGAGUCGGUGUUGAGUAUUGGCUCCUGCUGUACCUUUUGAUAUCCAUUUCCAGACAAGGGAUAAAAGGUGGGCAUACCUGGAGAGUCGGCCAACCGGAGGUACAAGUUGUCACCAAGAUUGUUCCUCGCCAUGUCAACAAGCUCACCAACCCAAAG
This is a non-coding RNA of Oryza sativa Japonica Group (Japanese rice), 587 nucleotides long. Lineage: Eukaryota; Viridiplantae; Streptophyta; Magnoliopsida; Poales; Poaceae. The record is from RefSeq and is a predicted model, not a curated record.